RNAcentral lists this long non-coding RNA (902 nucleotides) under Suricata suricatta (meerkat). RNAcentral describes it as "lncRNA (ENSSSUG00005000303.1)". The record is from RNAcentral. Lineage: Eukaryota; Metazoa; Chordata; Mammalia; Carnivora; Herpestidae.
AGCUGGAAAAACCUGAACUUUAUGCCUGCUGUCCCUUCCCCCAGGUUCAACUUAUGAUGGCACCUUACAGUUUUGAGGUCAAACUAGAUGUGACAUCUGUCACCUCUCUGUCACAAGAGCUUGACAUGUCUCUGCUUUUCCUCAUUGCUCAGGAUGCAUGCUUCCCGAGGCUGGACAUCUCAUCUUCCAUCACGAGGUGUCUAUGGAGCCCAGGAAAAGCCAGAGGAGCCUCAACAGCUGGAUGCUAUAAAUGCCUCAGUUUUGGCACUCAUCUUUCAAUCACUUCACUAAUCGUAUAUAGAAUAUUCAGGAAAAGGAUGUUUGCCAUGGAUGCAUCAUCUGCUUCCCAGCUCUGCAGUAUCUGACACAUGACCUGGGAACACCGUGCCCUGACACAGGAGUGCUUCCAGCUCCGCUUCGGGAUAGCCCAGCCUCCAUCUACAAGGUAUCGAUUAAAACACAAGCUUGAUAGUGUUCACAUCAAACAAGUUUCGAAUGUAAACACCCAUGGGAAGUGAAUUAUUGUGAUUUUUUUCUGAAUUAUUAUUGUAGAAAUUUUGGAAGAUAUAGUAAAGAAAGUAAGCAUCAUUUAUAAUAUCCUUAGGCUCAAAGCAAGAUACCCUUGAACUGUUGAUGUGUUUUCUUCAACUAUAUCUACGUGUGUGUAUACAUAUAUAUUUUUUCUUUUGGAAAAUUGGAGGUUUCUGCUUUUUUCACUUAAAAAUAUAUCAUCUGCAUUUUUCCAUAUUACUACUAUUCUAAAGCAUGAUUGCUAAUGACUAAUCAUCUGAAUGUUUAUCAUUUUUAACCAUCCUUAUUGACUGAUAUUAAGAUUCUGCUCACAUUUUUGUUCAUGUAAGUAAUGCUGCAGUAAACAUCCCUAAACACAAAUCUUUUUUACA